GAUGAACGCUGGCGGCGUGCCUAAUACAUGCAAGUCGAGCGAACGGACGAGAAGCUUGCUUCUCUGAUGUUAGCGGCGGACGGGUGAGUAACACGUGGAUAACCUACCUAUAAGACUGGGAUAACUUCGGGAAACCGGAGCUAAUACCGGAUAAUAUUUUGAACCGCAUGGUUCAAAAGUGAAAGACGGUCUUGCUGUCACUAAUAGAGGGUUCCGCGCUGCUUUGGCUAGUUGGUAAGGUAACGGCUUACCAAGGCAACGAUGCAUAGCCGACCUGAGAGGGUGAUCGGCCACACUGGAACUGAGACACGGUCCAGACUCCUACGGGAGGCAGCAGUAGGGAAUCUUCCGCAAUGGGCGAAAGCCUGACGGAGCAACGCCGCGUGAGUGAUGAAGGUCUUCGGAUCGUAAAACUCUGUUAUUAGGGAAGAACAUAUGUGUAAGUAACUGUGCACAUCUUGACGGUACCUAAUCAGAAAGCCACGGCUAACUACGUG
RNAcentral lists this ribosomal RNA (497 nucleotides) under uncultured bacterium. Its description in RNAcentral is "partial 16S ribosomal RNA". It matches the Rfam family "Bacterial small subunit ribosomal RNA", at positions 28 to 507 of the family's 1533-position model. The record is from RNAcentral.